RNAcentral lists this ribosomal RNA (415 nucleotides) under uncultured prokaryote. Its description in RNAcentral is "bacterial SSU rRNA". It matches the Rfam family "Bacterial small subunit ribosomal RNA", at positions 355 to 787 of the family's 1533-position model. The record is from RNAcentral.
UGGGGAAUCUUGGACAAUGGGCGCAAGCCUGAUCCAGCCAUGCCGCGCGAGUGACGAAGGCCCUAGGGUUGUAAAGCUCUUUCGGCGGGGACGAUAAUGACCGUAUCCGCAGAAGAAGCCCCGGCAAACUUCGUGCCAGCAGCCGCGGUAAUACGAAGGGGGCUAGCGUUGUUCGGAAUCACUGGGCGUAAAGCGCACGCAGGCGGAUCGUUUAGUCGGGGGUGAAAUCCCGAGGCUCAACCUCGGAACUGCCUCCGAUACUGACGAUCUGGAGUCCGGGAGAGGUGAGUGGAACUCCGAGUGUAGAGGUGAAAUUCGUAGAUAUUCGGAAGAACACCAGUGGCGAAGGCGGCUCACUGGCCCGGUACUGACGCUGAGGUGCGAAAGCGUGGGGAGCAAACAGGAUUAGAUACCC